This 427-nucleotide ribosomal RNA is filed under the name uncultured beta proteobacterium. RNAcentral describes it as "bacterial SSU rRNA". It matches the Rfam family "Bacterial small subunit ribosomal RNA", at positions 355 to 774 of the family's 1533-position model. The record is from RNAcentral. Lineage: Bacteria; Pseudomonadati; Pseudomonadota; Betaproteobacteria.
UGGGGAAUAUUGGACAAUGGGCGAAAGCCUGAUUCAGCCAUGCCGCGUGAGUGAUGAAGGCCUUAGGGUUGUAAAGCUCUUUUAGUCGGAAAGAAAGAGUUGCAAUGAAUAAUUGUGAUUUAUGACGGUACCGACAGAAAAAGCACCGGCUAACUACGUGCCAGCAGCCGCGGUAAUACGUAGGGUGCGAGCGUUAAUCGGAAUUACUGGGCGUAAAGGGUGCGCAGGCGGUCUUGCAAGUCAGAUGUGAAAGCCCCGGGCUUAACCUGGGAAUUGCGUUUGAAACUACAAGACUAGAGUGCAGCAGAGGGGAGUGGAAUUCCAUGUGUAGCAGUGAAAUGCGUAGAGAUGUGGAAGAACACCGAUGGCGAAGGCAGCUCCCUGGGUUGACACUGACGCUCAUGCACGAAAGCGUGGGGAGCAAACA